This 1617-nucleotide unclassified non-coding RNA is filed under the name Hevea brasiliensis (rubber tree). The record is from RNAcentral. Lineage: Eukaryota; Viridiplantae; Streptophyta; Magnoliopsida; Malpighiales; Euphorbiaceae.
GGGUAAACUUUUCUUUGGUUAUAUGAUCAAAAUUUACAGCCUUUCUCAAUAACCAAAAUUGAUUUCAACUUAGAAUUUCAUCAACAUAUUCAACUCUAUUGAAUGUUUAAGGGUUCUUUUCAUUUGGAAUGACUAAACGGCUAAAUCUAAUACAAAGGAAGCUUGCAUUUGCUAACGCUUCGAUGCCUACCAAAGCUAAUUCUGGGGCAACCUGAGGGAAGCCCAAGGUGCUCUUCGUUAUAGUUGACAGCUACAAGGCUCAGCCCAUGAGGUGGUGAAGGCAAAGUGUAUUUGGCCAGCUCCUUGCGAUCACGAGUCUCCAAAAUCUUGGGGACAAUUUCGGGAGGAAUUGCUUCCUUACCAAUUUGGAGGAGCAAAGCAACCAUGUUUCGCACUUGUCUAUACAAGAAGCCCGUGCCUUCAACUUCUAGCUGUAGUAGAGCUCCCUUUUCGAUGACAUCAAAACGAAAAAUAGUCUUCACUGGAUCUGGCACUCGAUCAUUGCGAGAUGCAUUGGCAAAAGCAGAGAAAUCAUGCAUUCCUACAAAAUGCUUCGCAGCUUGUCUCAUGGCAUCAACAUUGAGUUUAUAAGCAAUAUGGUAUGCAUAUUGGCGCUGAAAUGGAUCCAUGAUGGUCUCAUUAUAUAUCUUGUAGUGAUAAACCUUGCUCUUUGCCGAAAAUCGAGCAUGGAAUUCAAGAACUGCAGGGCUAAUUUCUCUAACUCGGACAUCAGGAGGAAGGAGACCGUUGAGAGCUGCAUGAAUGCUAUCCAAGCAGUCAUAAUUGAAAGGUGUAACAAAGUGUGCCACCUGAAACCUCAACUGAUAGUGAGUUUGUUUCAUGUCCGUUAAUGCUUGUAGAAUCCUCAAAAGAGUAAGAAAGUCAGACCUGACCCCACGCAUGAACUCCUGUAUCUGUCCUACUUGCGCCAACUAAAAGAAGAUCUUUUCUUUCUAGCCUUGUAACUCGAAUUAAAGUUUUUUCCAUAAUGCACUGUAUAGUUGGAGGGGAUUGCUGAAAUUGCCAACCUGACAAUAAAAAUAACAAAAAUAGCACAAUUUUAACAAAAUGUUCUGACAAUGGCAAGGACUUUGGAUGCUGGCGCAUUUGAAACUUGAAGUUCAACAUAUCAACAGCCUCAAGGCAUCGUCAUUAGAUUACAGGAGCUCCAAACGCCAGACAUAGGGGAUCUUUAGAUAAAAGUAGCACAGAUCCCUGCGUAACGGGUGCCAUCGUAAGCAAUAACCAAACGCCAUUUAAACCCAUCAACGGCUGAGUGUUUCACAGUCUGGAUAGCUUCAUCUGUGCCACCAUUUCCCACAUCCUGUCACAACGGGAUCAGAACAAAGCUCGUCACCUUCACCACCACGCCAGGGGUUAGGGAAAAGUGUGGGAAUAGCCUUACCGAGAUAUUAUUGGAUGAAGAAACACUUAAGCUUGGAUGUAGAGAAGAGGAUACGCUCAGUAUCCCAUACUUCAUCAUCUCCAGAGCAACCCUCCUUUCUGAAGAAGAAACAGUCUCUUUACGGGACGGAGGAGGGAGAAAGGCAAAACCCAGAGGAAGAAAUUCCAAGGGUACAAAACAAGAUACCGUUUAAAAAUGAUACAGCCGUGAAC